Molecule: long non-coding RNA, 228 nt
Filed under: Capsicum annuum
Lineage: Eukaryota; Viridiplantae; Streptophyta; Magnoliopsida; Solanales; Solanaceae
Description: long non-coding RNA (CANN_LNC010430)
Source: RNAcentral
GGGCUCGCCACUUUUUACUAGCUAUCCGAUAGGGAAAUGAACCACUUAACAUUGCACAUGAUUAUAAUAAAAGUCCCCCAAUUAUGAAAUAAUGUAGCGUUGAAGAUGGCCAGUAUAACAAGUACUGUCAUACAACCUAGGAAAAGGGAUAAAACCAUUCUUAUAUCAAAAUGAGUCAUAAAACAUAUGUUCAUUAUCAAGAAUAACAUUAAAAGAGGGGGCAGGGCC